Molecule: unclassified non-coding RNA, 400 nt
Filed under: soil metagenome
Description: partial contains 5.8S ribosomal RNA, internal transcribed spacer 2, and large subunit ribosomal RNA
Rfam family: 5.8S ribosomal RNA (bases 1-122)
Source: RNAcentral
GAUGAAGAACGUAGCGAAAUGCGAUACUUGGUGUGAAUUGCAGAAUCCCGUGAACCAUCGAGUCUUUGAACGCAAGUUGCGCCUCAAGCCAUUAGGUUGAGGGCACGUCUGCCUGGGCGUCACAUAUCGUUGCCUGAUGCCAGUUUCCUCGUGAUGGGUGACUGUGCAGGGCGAAUGAUGGCUUCCCGUGAGCAUUGUUGCCUCAUGGUUGGUUGAAAAUUGAGUCCUUGGUAGGGAGCGCCGUGAUAGAUGGUGGUUGAGUGACGAACGAGACCCAAUCAUGUGAGACCCCUACCGAAUUUGGCCUUCAUGACCCACAUGCGUCUUUGGAACGCUCAUGACGAGACCUCAGGUCAGGCGGGGCUACCCGCUGAGUUUAAGGAUAUCAAUAAGCGGAGGA